GUCUGUUAAGUGAAGCCCUCAGAUUAUCCAAGAAAGUUUUACUGAAGGACCUUUGUCAGUUGGCUUCUCAGCUUAUAAGCUGUCUGCAUCAAAUUGUAGGCGUGGCCCUAAGAAAGUAGCCCAGCCUGCCAGUUCUUCUGUCCCUGUGCUGGGAAUCUGCCAUCCCUCUUCUUCUGCCUUCAGCAUCCUGCCUUCAUGUGCCUUGUGGGCGGGCUUCCUGUCAGGGACCACUUUGUCAUUUGGAAUUUGGAGACUGGGUUUUUAAAAGGUCAGCUGAGGCCAGGACCCAAAGACAAGACUUGUGCGAAACCUAUUUAUUCUGGCAGGCCAUCUUCUUUCAAAGGCCACUGGGGAUCCGUGCAAGGAGACUCCACCCAAAAGGAGAGGGAGCAAGG
Non-coding RNA from Struthio camelus australis, 395 nucleotides. The record is from RefSeq and is a predicted model, not a curated record. NCBI's taxonomy places the organism in Eukaryota, Metazoa, Chordata, Aves, Struthioniformes, Struthionidae.